UGCGGUAUCUCUAUCGUCACUUUGUUCAACGAACGCAUAUACCGUACUGUGGCCAUGGCAGGAAUUCACGAAUAAAAAAUUGCAUGGUGGCCAUCCUUCUACGUAAGGCACCAUUUUUCAUGCAUUUUUUGUGCACAGAGAUUAACGCUUCGGGGGUUCCACUCCGCCUCGGGUGACCUAUCCACAAUGACCGUUAGUUGUGUUAUAACGGGCUGGAAGUAGUUGGAAUGUAUGGC
This 236-nucleotide long non-coding RNA is filed under the name Volvox carteri. RNAcentral's name for it is "long non-coding RNA (VCAR_LNC001397)". The record is from RNAcentral. Lineage: Eukaryota; Viridiplantae; Chlorophyta; Chlorophyceae; Chlamydomonadales; Volvocaceae.